CGCGUAGACGGUUUUGUAAGUCAGAUGUGAAAUCCCUGGGCUCAACCUGGGAACUGCAUUUGAAACUGCAUGGCUAGAGUAUGGUAGAGGGAAGUGGAAUUUCCGGUGUAGCGGUGAAAUGCGUAGAUAUCGGAAGGAACACCAGUGGCGAAAGCGACUUCCUGGGCCAAUACUGACGUUCAUGUGCGAAAGCGUGGGGAGCAAACAGGAUUAGAUACCCUGGUAGUCCACGCCAUAAACGAUGACAACUAGAUGUUGGGGGGGGUCUGCCUCCCGGUGUCGCAGCUAACGCGUUAAGUUGUCCGCCUGGGGAGUACGGCCGCAAGGUUGAA
RNAcentral lists this ribosomal RNA (332 nucleotides) under uncultured bacterium. Its description in RNAcentral is "bacterial SSU rRNA". It matches the Rfam family "Bacterial small subunit ribosomal RNA", at positions 568 to 898 of the family's 1533-position model. The record is from RNAcentral.